This 244-nucleotide ribosomal RNA is filed under the name uncultured bacterium. Its description in RNAcentral is "partial 16S ribosomal RNA". It matches the Rfam family "Bacterial small subunit ribosomal RNA", at positions 1243 to 1500 of the family's 1533-position model. The record is from RNAcentral.
UGCGAAGCGAAGCAGUGAUGUGAAGCAAAUACGCACCAAAGCCAGUCCCAGUUCGGAUAAGAGGCUGAAACUCGCCUCUUUGAAGUCGGAAUCGCUAGUAAUCGCAGAUCAGCAUGUUGCGGUGAAUACGUUCCCGGGUCUUGUACACACCGCCCGUCAAACCAUGAGAGUCACCAACACCCGAAGUCCGCCUUGGCGGCCUAAGGUGGGGGAGAUGAUUGGGGUGAAGUCGUAACAAGGUAGC